AUGCCACUCAUCCAUCUUGUCACCUCAUACUCAUUGCCAUCCCCUGCCCACCCCACUGCUACCCAGCCAUCCAUCUUUUCACCUCAUACUCACUGCCAUCCCCUGCCCACCCCACUGCUACCCAGCACUCAUGGCUAUCCUGUGUCCAUUCCUGUCCCCAUGCCACCCUGUCCCCUUGCCACUUCAUCCUUAUUUCCACCCUUGUCCUAUGGUCACCCCAUUCCCAUGACCACAUCAUCCCUACUGCCACCCUAUCCUUAUUGUCACCUUGUCCCCAUUGACACCCCAUCUUUAAUUCCUUUGCCACCCCGUUCCCAUGGCCACUGUGUCCUUAUUUCCACCCCAUCCCCAUGGCCACCCAUUCCUUUGACCACCACGUCCUUAUUUACACCCCAUUCUCACGGCCACCCCAUCCUUAUUUCCACCCCAUCCCCGUCCCCACCCCGUGGCCACCCCCCAUCCUUAUUUCCACCCCAUCCCCGUCCCCGCCCCGUGGCCACCCCUUUGUGGCGGGUGCUAACAGGCGUCCCGUCCCGCUUGCCGGUCCCCGUGCCACCAGAUGCUGCCGCUCCGUGUCACACCAUCAUGUCUCUAGCGGAGUGUAGCGGGGAGAGCAGUCGGUGCCUUUGUUUCUCCUGCUCUCCGCACAGCUGUCACUUCCAGUGAUCAGUAGAAAAAUCAUCACCCCACCGGAUCAUACAUAUGGAACGGUGUCUGUGCGGAAUAUUUAUUGUAACAUGUGUCGGGGCCGCGCCGGUCAUGAGCCCCGGGCUGGGCUCGUGCUGUGCCAGCCCUGGAAGGAUGCUCCAGUCCUCCCUGCUGGGGAGGUGUGGGUGUCCCCACGGUGGUGUCCCCACAGUGGGGAACUCGGGGCUGACUGCUCUUGGUGCAGCAUCCUCUGCCUCGACUGGGAAAGUGCUCCCUCUCCCAGCCUGUCCCCACCGUGUUCCCAAAGGAUGUUUUCAAGCUGGGGGAGCAGCGGAGGUGUUGGGGGUGUGCAGAGCUGCAGCUGGUAAAGCUGUAGGGGAACAGAAGCCCGGGGGCUGCCCCGUGCUGGGGUCACCUGUGGGGUGGCCUUUGGGGUCUCCACGGGCAGGAGGCGAAGGCGCGCGGGCGCCUUGGCCCCGUCAGUGUCUCCGGGAGCUCUCUCCCAUCUCUGGAGCUGUCAGCUCGGCACCUUUCAUGUGUGAUGGGUAAACAGCGUGGCGCGCCUGCCGGGGAAGGCUGUUGGAUCCCUGCUGGUGCUAAAGCGGCGUCUGGCAGGGACGGGGAACGUGCCGUCGCCUGCGCGAGGCUCGGCGGACGUGCCGCCCCGCUGGGGCUCCGUGCGGCUUUCCUGAUGGAGAGCAGAGCCCCAGCCGCCCCCGUGUCAGGGUGAAGCUGUGCUGAUGGGAUCCCUUCAGGUGUGCCACUCCCACCACCAGAAACCAGUUCCCACAUCCCCAUCCCAUGCGCUGGUGGCUGAAGGGGAUGCAGAGCCCCCCCCCCCCCCCCGCGGGGGGGGGGGGGGGGGGGGGGGGGGGGGGGGGGGGGGGGGGGGGGGGGGGGGGGGGGGGGGGGGGGGGGGGGGGGGGGGGGGGGGGGGGGGGGGGGGGGGGGGGGGGGGGG
This 1608-nucleotide long non-coding RNA is filed under the name Ficedula albicollis (Collared flycatcher). RNAcentral describes it as "lncRNA (ENSFALG00000027416.1)". Lineage: Eukaryota; Metazoa; Chordata; Aves; Passeriformes; Muscicapidae. The record is from RNAcentral.